UACGUAGUGCGCAAGCGUUAUCCGGAAUUAUUGGGCGUAAAGAGCUCGUAGGCGGUUUGUCGCGUCUGCCGUGAAAAUCCGGGGCUCAACCCCGGAUCUGCGGUGGGUACGGGCAGACUAGAGUGAUGUAGGGGAGACUGGAAUUCCUGGUGUAGCGGUGAAAUGCGCAGAUAUCAGGAGGAACACCGAUGGCGAAGGCAGGUCUCUGGGCAUUAACUGACGCUGAGGAGCGAAAGCAUGGGGAGCGAACAGG
Molecule: ribosomal RNA, 253 nt
Filed under: uncultured bacterium
Lineage: Bacteria
Description: partial 16S ribosomal RNA
Rfam family: Bacterial small subunit ribosomal RNA
Source: RNAcentral